RNAcentral lists this ribosomal RNA (186 nucleotides) under uncultured bacterium. RNAcentral's name for it is "partial 16S ribosomal RNA". It matches the Rfam family "Bacterial small subunit ribosomal RNA", at positions 1301 to 1500 of the family's 1533-position model. The record is from RNAcentral.
UAGGCUGCAACUCGCCUACAUGAAGCUGGAAUUGCUAGUAAUCACAGGUCAGCAUACUGUGGUGAAUACGUUCCCGGGCCUUGUACACACCGCCCGUCACACCAUGAGAGUUGAGAAUACCCGAAGUCCAUGUCAAAGUGGCCGAAGGUAGGCUUGAUGAUUGGGGUGAAGUCGUAACAAGGUAAC